GGGAACGAGCUUUGUUUAUAGCACAAGUGAAACUCCACUUUAUUGAACGAUGGGGUCUCAAAUGGGCUGCCUCUUUGCCACUCUUUUGGUAGUAUCAGUCUCUCUUAGCUACUUGCCGUUAGAAGCCUCCGCAAACAAAUACUACUACACAUCUCCUCCCCCUCCCAAAUACAAGUCUCCACCACCACCCCCGCCACCGGUUCACAAUUCUCCACCACCACCCCCGGUUUACCUGCCCCCGCCACCUCCUCCACCAGUCUACGUGCCUGCUCCGGCACCAACUCCAAUUUUCCCUUCUCCGCCACCUCCUGUCCCCAAGUCCCCACCACCACCUCACCCUUACAUCUAUGCAUCUCCCCCUCCUCCUUACUACUACUAGAAAGUGGCCAUGAAUAGCUCAUGCUUUUAUGGUAAUCUCAUUUAUUUUUAAAACUGUACAUGUAAAGACUAGUAGUUCAGAAUUACAUUAAGCAUUUCAAUUUUAAGCACCGUGUUCUGUUUAAUUGCGUUCCUAUUGAUUAAGUGACAAAUAAAAGAGAUUGAUUAAUUUGUUCUUGUAGGAGAGGCGAAUGGUUUCCGAAUAAAGAAAGCAAGGGUUUGAUGGAAGGCUUACUUGGAGCAAGAGAGCGAUCAAUCGAGUUGCUGCGUUUUAUUCUCUUUUAUCUUUGUUUUUUAAGAAAAAUAAACUGCCACACGUAGAAACAGAAAAUUAAGUUCUUGUCAUUUUCAUGCAUAUGGAUUGUUGCUGUGUGUGUCAAUCAAAUCUCCGUUGUGUCAUUUGUAAUUUUCAACCUUUAUGCAUGCAAAUGCGAGACCUCUUACGUAUAAUAAAAUUAAUAUACUUCCAAAGAUGGUCUUAUCUUGCGUUGACUUUUUACGUUCCUUUGGUGAUGAUUUUGACGUUUGAAAUUGAUGACUAUUGUUUUUGUAAACUCUGACAUGGAUUUUUCGUGCAACUACAGAGCGCAUUAACGAGAGACUUAUCCAUGAGGGUCCAUGCAGAUCAGUGUCUAAUUAACCAAUAAUUAAUAUAACUUAAAAAAUAUAGAGUUAAUAAUUUUUAUGGGUCAUGCUCAAUUGCAGAUGUUCGUACAAAAUUUCUUGCUAAUGUAUACUUGAGUAUGAUAAUAAGUUUUAAUCAUUAUUAAUAAUUCACUUGAUAAUAUUAAACAAAUUUUCAUAUCAAUUAAGUUACAAAAUUUCUGUGACAAAUUUCCACGUACUGGAACCAUGCAAAAGGGCUUUAUUCAAGCAAAGCUGCAUAGCCGUUGGCAAUUAAAAUUAUUUAUCAAUUAAGUUAAGUAGUAAGAAUUGGAUUGUGGAUUCCAUUAAUUAUUUCAAGGAAAAUUUUAUAGAUAAUGCCGUAAUGAAAUUUACGGCAUCAAUAUCACGAUAAAUAUAAAUAUUGUAAAUUACAAAUAGAAUUAGUAAAUGUAAAGUAAAACCAGUAAAUUCAUAAAAGAUUAUUAAUUAUUUAAAAAAUUAACAUUGUGUUAUGUUUGCAAGUUUUUGUUUUGUUUACUAGUUUUAUGUUAUGUUUGCAAGUUUUUGUUUUGUUUACUAGUAAUAGAUUAAUGGGUAAUUUUUAAUUGAGUCCUCAUUAGUUCUAGAAAAACAAUUCAGAGACCAGAAGUUUACUAAAUGAAUCAAUUAAAUUCUUUCAAGUACAAACUAAUGUCAUUCAAGUCCUUAACUUAAUUGGUCAGUUAAAAAUAUUAACAACGUCGAGGACAUUUUAGUAAAACAACAAUUGAGUCGUUUCUCAUUCUUUAUUUUUGACAGGUGGAAAUAGUUUAAAGUAAACUCACUUAACCUGAUUAAGUUAAGGAUCAGUUCUUUCAAAUGAAAAAAAAAAAAAAAAAAAACCUACAGAAACUGCCAUAUUCUUCGUGUGGGAGGAGAGAUCGAGAGAACGUGGGAUGGUGCAAAAAAUGUUGUAUAAAUCUACUGUGAUUUUGACCAAAGCUUUGGUAGCAUUGAUUGAGUUCAAGUACUGGAGAGAACCUGAGUUUAAAGGUUAGUAACUCUAUUUUUUUAGUGAUUUCUGCAAGCAUUUUCUGAUAAAAAAUUUUCCGUAUUGAGUGAUCGUUGUGAAAAAUUAAGUUUUUCAAGUCUAUUUUACAAAAUGACAAACUAUGUUUAAUUAUUGGUGGAUUCUUUUUUUUGUUCAAUGUUGUAUUUUGUUAAUUUGUUGUUUUUAAUUUGCUCUUAAUGUAAUUGUUAGACCAAAUACACCAUUAUUAUACCUGUAUUCAUUUCAACAAUUUGGUAUCGUUAUAUUAAUAAGAUUGAAUUCAUUGUAUUUGCUUCUUUGUUCAUGUAAAAUUGAAUUCUAUGUAUUCUUAUGAGUGAUAAUUUUUCUAUCUAUUAGACUAAAUUCACUAUAUUCACGACUUUCUUUCUUUUUGCUGGGCUAUUUUUUCUUUUUAGUUUAUAUUUUUUAUAUGUAUUAGAUUGAAUUUGCUUUUGUACGUUUUUUUAGCCGAAUUACAUGUAUAUUUUAUUUAGGUUGAGUUUUUUUGUUGUUUGCUAAAUAAAAUUCUAUUGGUUUAUCAUUUUUUGAUGCAAUACUUUUUGUUUAAAAUUAAUGCAGGUAGCCAUGUUACCUUUUUUUCGGUUAAAAUUAAUUGGGUGAUGUAUGCGAUAUAGGGAACCAGAGGAAUAUAAGAUUAUUAGGUUGUUUCUUGAAAUUCAAGAUGUCAUGGUUGAGCAUGGACACAGUGAAAUGGAUUUGAUUGAAAUUUCUGUUGUAUUGCCAUGGACUACAAGUAGGCAGAGGAAGCUAAUUUCAAACGAUAGUGAAUUGUAUUGGGUUUUCGAGGAGUUUUUUUUUUUUUUUUAUCAAUAGUUGUCCUGUCAUUGAGUUUGAGGUGCACAUUGGGUCAGGUGGUCAGUCAUUUCAUGAAAGUGUUGUAAUAGGACCUGAAAAUCCUGUCAAUAUAGGUGUUAGUGUUAUAAUAGUGAUAAGUUUGAAAAUCCUGUGGCUAAAAAGGGUAUGCCUAGAAUAAUUGGUACUUCUUUAUUUGCCUCAAAGUUCAACACUAUGAAAUCCACCAAGAAAAAGAAUUUAUCCACUUUAACCAGCAAUCUUCAAUCUUGCCUUCAGGAUAAGCAUGAGAUCUGUCAGCACAUUGCAAUGACACUGUGGUUGGUCUGACUUCUCCAACUUCCAAUUGCUUGAAUUCUGAUAAUGUCAUAAGAUUGAUGGCUUGCUCUCAAAUCACAAAGUGUCUUGCCACUGUAUUUAGUUCCUAUGGAACAAGGAAUUGUGAAACUUCCUGGAUCCUUCAACUUCUGAGGCAUUUUACUCUGAAGCAUAUGGCUGCAUUCUUGUGUUAGAGCAACUAUUUCGAAUUCUCCAAGCCUCCACUACUAGAAAAACAGGCUACUAUGACAGAAUUUUUGUGAUAGAUAUCAGAAAAUUAGUCAUUUAUCACAAAAAUAUAACAUACAUGUGAUAGAAUUUUCAUAUAUCAACAAGGCAUGAUAGAUUUGUGAUAGUUUCUUUAUCUGUCACUUGUACAUGAUAGCAUAUUAAUAUAGUAAUGAAACGGUGAGUUUAAGAUUGGCCAAUUUGGGCAUUGAACGACACCGUGUCUUGAAGCCUUUAAAAAAAAUUCUAAGUGUUGGACACUCCUUUGAACUUCACAUAGAAAACCCUAAUUUCUACAUCCAAACUGAAUCACACAAAAAUACACCAUCACACUUGCCGCCAAUAAAUUGUUGUUGUUCGUCUUUGUCGUCAUCUUCAUCCCCACUCCACAGCUUGCUGGCUAUUCCCAUUUCCCUUUUAUAGCUUGAACAACUGAUCUUCUUCAAGUUCGAGCCACUGUUACUGACUUCUUUCGGGAGAGGUAAGUGAUUAAUUCUUUUUUUUUUUUGAAGAGACAACAAUCACCAUAAAUUUCUCAAAAUCCCUAAAAUUAUGCCAAAAAAAGGAAAAAAUAAAGCCGUUCCAUGGCCUUAAAGGACUGACUUCGAGUUCGUGGACUAACGUGCCAACGACUCCGCUUUAUGGCCUUCGUGGAACGAUUCCGUGACACGCGAGUGGCAGCGUGCUAUUUACGUGGAGUCGGAUCGGAGAAGAUUGUACUACGAGGAGUUGGCGAUGUGAGAAAGACAGCGAGUUAGCUACUACGUCUUCGACUUAGGGUAAAAUUUUGGCAGAAUUUGAACUGAAAUUUAGUGGGUUUUGAGUGGUAAGACGAGGUUUUGAGAGAGGAAAAGGAGUGUUUGGCUGGCGAGAAAGUGAGAGAAAGUUUUUGAGUGUGGAGUGAUGGCUUCUCUGUUUUUACUUCUUUAUUGUUCUUUAUUGAGUAGAUGGUGACGAUACAAACUUUUAACAUUGUUUACUUAAUUAAUUGGAUAACAAUCUUACAUGACUAUUUUGAUUUAUCAGAUAAAUCAGUUAGAGAAGAAUGGAGAUGUUGUUGCUCAGGCACGAGCAAUUACAGCAAUCUAGACACUCUGCCCCGUCUUUCUUUCAAUGUUGUUGGCACACUGAAUAAUUUCCUUAGUGACAAGUUAACCAAAUUUAGAGGUAUAUGUGAUUUUGAUUUGACUUACUCUUAAUGAAAUACAAUAAGGAUUUUUUCUGUUGUUUCUAGGCCUUUUGGAGAGUUCGGAUUGAAGCAACGUUUGCCUUAGCUAAUACAACAUCUAAGGUAUUGUUAUUAUUCUCACCUUUAUUUAUUAAAUAUAUUGAGCACAUGGUAGGUCCACCAAAAUGUAUGCAAAAUCUAUUCACCAGAGGUAUUCGCAUAAAGUGAAUUUUUGUGAGAGACUAUUCUUCAACUGUGAAAACUACUUUGGUAGUUCUCAAACCCAUUACAAUUGAUUGGUGCUUGUGUUUUUCUAUUAGAAAGAUAUCUUCUGUAAAAUCUUUGUGAACUACAUUUUUGGAAAUGCAAAUGCUUUGUGUGGUGGUGAUUGUGCUUAUUUGCUUGGUCUUCUAGCAUUUCAGUGAAAUGAUUUAUUUUGACUUGUGCUUAUGACUAACUUGUUGACAGAGAAACUAGGCCAUUUAUGGAUGCACUGAUAUGAAUCCUAUAAUUUUUCUCUUAAUUGACAUGUUGAACUUUUUGGAAGAUAUUUUUUUUUUAUUUGAUUUGUCACAUAUUGUGCUUUAUUAGUUGGAAAUGUUUUGGUUUGUGGACCAUGUUGCACUUACCAGUUCUCAAUAUUGAUAUAUGAUAUAUACACACUAUUGUACUGGAAAUUGAUUGAGUUGGUUUGCUCCAUCUGGUGAAAUUUUAUAAAAGUCGAAGGUUUGAUGAGAAUAUUGGACUCCCCAAGUGAGAAUCUAUCUAAGUUUGAAAUUGUUCUGAUAUCGUUGCUGCAGCACUUUGUUAACGUUUUUGUUUUCUGCUGAUCAUUCCAGGCCAAAUGAUAUCCGUGAUUUUUCAGAGUAUUUGUUCUUGAGGUAAUGCCUUGAGGUAAGGUAUGUAAUGAGUUGUGUGAAGUGGGAUGUGAUAAUAAUUUUGCCCUCGCUUCAUGUGAUGAAAUCCCACAUAAUUUGCCCUUGCUUUAUGUGAUGAAAUCUUUGGGUGGUUUGUUUAUUUAGUGUUUUUCUAUUUCUUUUUAUAUGCUAAUUUUCAUAGUUCUAGAGCAAGUCUUUCUCUAGUCAUUUUGAAAUACUUCCACAUGCUGCUUCUUAAGCCAAGAUUGUCUUGCCCUAAUGAACAAGUUAAAUGGAUUUGCGUUGCUUGGAGUCUCAGUGUAAUAUAUGUGUUUUAGAACUUAGAUUGAUAAACAAAUUUGAACAAAUACAGUGGAAUAAGAAUAAAGAGAAGAUUAAAAAAAAAAGAGUAGAAAUAAAGAAAAGGAUGGUGAAACUUUAGGAGAAUAGGGGAAUCAAGAGAAGAGGAUAGAAUUUUGAUGGAUUUUAUUUAAUUAUGUAACGGAGGUUUUGUGUUGUUAGAUGUUGUGCGUUAAUUAAUUUGUAAUCUUGGAAAAAUACUUUAUCAUGAAUUGGGUUAAUUGUAAGUGGUCAAUACACUAAUAUAUAUUCUUCUAGCACUCAUCUAAAUGUAAUAUGUGUUUCAGGUGAUGUUGGUGGCUCUUGGGAAUUUACUAUCAGUGUUCUUUUUACGAAUUAAUUGUUUUUCUAAUGAUGGGGUAGUGAUUGAAUAUUGUAGAGAAUUUAUGAGUUAUUCUUACGGAUUUGAUUCACCAUGUAUUUUGAUGAUACUAUUUGUUGGAAGUUUCAAGUAAUUGAAAUUUUUAGUAUAUGGUGAUAUUUGGUAUUUGAUAGUUUUUAUGAAUUUGAAUGUAAUUUUUAUUUCAGUUAAUUCAAAUUUUAAAAUGUGGGUUUUGUUAUUUCUAUUUCAAAAUUCUGGAAUUUAAAUAAUAUUAAUUAGUAUUAUUAUAAUUUCAAAAUUAAAAAUAAUAAUUUUAUUUUUUUAAACCUUAAAUCUCAUGACAGAGAAUGUGAAUCAUUAAUAUAUGAAAGAUUUUGAAAAAGCCCACCAAAUUCAAUAUAAUUUAAAUUACCUGCUAAAAUUUCCAAUUAAUUCUCAAAAGCCUUGCAAAACGACGUCGCUUGGUUCGUGACAUAUGCGUGAUAGAUAUACACUGUCACAGAAACAUGUGAUAGAUAAAAUGUUGUCAUAGAUUUAUGAAAGGGGCUACAAUGACAGAUGGAAACUCUGUCAUAAGAGGGGUCGGAUGACAGAUAUUCUCUGUCAUGAUAGCCCAUUUUUCUAGUAGUGCUCAUUUUCCUUGCCAAUAUACAUUUCCAAAACUUUACAUAAUUUGGCAUUUGUUCCAAUGCUUCCACAAAAGGAAUGUUGAUAUGCAGUUGUUUCAAUACUUCCACCACCUGUCCCCAAGUUCCCACCACCACCUCACCCUUGCGUCUAUGCAUCUCCCCCUCCUCCUUACUACUACUAGAAAGCGGCCAUGAAUAGCUCAUGCUUUU
Molecule: long non-coding RNA, 6919 nt
Filed under: Citrus maxima (pomelo)
Lineage: Eukaryota; Viridiplantae; Streptophyta; Magnoliopsida; Sapindales; Rutaceae
Description: long non-coding RNA (CMAX_LNC002287)
Source: RNAcentral